AUAUCUUCCUCGACCUUUUAGCUAAGAUCGAGUGUAGUAUCUGUUCUUAUCAGUUGAUACCUUCCACAGGGCCCAUAAAACGGCAGACGAUAAAAUUAGUUUCUUGUGGGGGAGGGCCUACCACCAAUAGUUUGCUAUUAGAGCCCUUGAUUUUUACUCAUGCAAUGCACUACUGCAGUCCUGAGCACACUCUGA
Molecule: small nuclear RNA, 195 nt
Organism: Magnolia sinica
Lineage: Eukaryota; Viridiplantae; Streptophyta; Magnoliopsida; Magnoliales; Magnoliaceae
Product: U2 spliceosomal RNA
Exons: 1
Source: RefSeq, a predicted model, not a curated record